CAGCUUCAAAAACAAAUGAAGUAAGGGGAAAAUAAACUUGUGACAUAAUUAAACAGCAACCCUAGCCAACUACAGUUCCACAGGUGGAAAAAAUCUAGGAACCAUCUUUACUGAAAUUAAAUAUUGCACUCCUUUAACACACGUUAAGAGGAGUAUUUCACCUAAAGACAGCAUCUAAGAGGUUACUGCAAGUAUAAGCACAGGCUAGAAAAAACAAAUUCCUAUUUCCAAUGACAUCAGUAUAGCAAAAUAGCAAGUUGAAAAAUAUUUACAGAGAUAUCUACAGAACAUUCUUAACAGUGCUGAUUCGAUGCUGCAAUGCACUGAUAUUUCUAGUAACAUGGGGGACAGCAGAUUUCCUUCUCCAAGCUGGUUGUGCCCCCAAGAGCUGAGCAGAUCACCCCCUCAGUCCCAGUGCAGUUAAGAGCCUUCUUGCUGGUCUUCAAUCUUUGGAGCCAGGUAGUAUUUUAAGUGUCCCAUAUCAGCAAUCUUGUACUCCACAACGAGAGGAACAUCUGCAGACAUGCUGAGUGUUACUGUAGGUGACAGGGGGGUGGCUUUGGUAAAAAAGUUCAAAUACCUCAGAGCAAAAGUCAGCUGGACUGGCUCAUUCAUUUCUAUUGUAACAGCUUCUUCCUCUUUGUCCACAUUACUGGUCUGUGACAGCUUGAUGUUUCCAUUUCCUAACUCUCCAUUAGCUGAAAAUUUCACACCGUCUUUUGCACAGGAGAUGACAACAGCAUCACCAAUGUGGCUGAGGUCUCUACAAAUGCGUGCAAAUUCAGCAGAAGGCAUUUUCACUACACAACUGUAUUCUUGUUCUGGAAUUCCAAGCUGCUCCACAUCGAGGUCCAUAAGCUUCAUCUCAUAAUCAGAAACCUUUUCCUGAUUUGGUGCUUCAAACACUAGAGCCAACGUAUCCGCAUUGUCUUCUGCUCUGAGUGUUAUGAUGUCUUCAUUUCCAGCACACUUCAGUAUUUUAGACAUGCUGUUUAGGUUGACGCCCAUGGCGAUGUUGCGGUCGCAGCGGUAGGUGUCGAAGCCCUCAGAGCGCAGCGUGAGCUGCACCAGGGAGACGUGCGAGGAGUCCAUGCUCUGCAGGCUGAUGCCGCCCGAACCCAGGUCCCAGCACGCCUCAGUGAUGAGGUCCUUCAGGGCCUCCAGCACCCGCUUGAGCACCGAGCCCUGCACAAGCCGCGCCUCGAACAUCUUGGCGGCAGCAGCAGCGAACAACAACCACACGCAGCACGACUAGGCCCUC
This 1261-nucleotide long non-coding RNA is filed under the name Gallus gallus (chicken). The record is from RNAcentral. Lineage: Eukaryota; Metazoa; Chordata; Aves; Galliformes; Phasianidae.